Molecule: transfer RNA, 74 nt
Filed under: Psephotellus pulcherrimus (paradise parrot)
Lineage: Eukaryota; Metazoa; Chordata; Aves; Psittaciformes; Psittaculidae
Description: tRNA-Asn
Rfam family: tRNA
About the family: Transfer RNA (tRNA) molecules are approximately 80 nucleotides in length.
Source: RNAcentral
UAGACAGAAGUCUGUUGGUUAGGGCACCUAGCUGUUAACUAGGAUUAUCGUGGGGUCGGAACCCACCUGUCUAG